Molecule: ribosomal RNA, 507 nt
Filed under: uncultured fungus
Lineage: Eukaryota; Fungi
Description: SSU rRNA
Rfam family: Eukaryotic small subunit ribosomal RNA
Source: RNAcentral
AGCAGCCGCGGUAAUUCCAGCUCCAAUAGCGUAUAUUAAAGUUGUUGCAGUUAAAAAGCUCGUAGUUGAAUUUCGGGAUCAAUAUGCCGGUCAUGCCUUGGUAUGCACUGGUAUCUUUGAUUUCUCCCUUCUGACGAACUUUGAUGUCAUUAAUUUGGUGUCAUAGGGAAUCAGGACUGUUACUUUGAAAAAAUUAGAGUGUUUAAAGCAGGCUCACGCUUGAAUACAUUAGCAUGGAAUAAUGAAAUAGGACGUUUGAUUCUAUUUUGUUGGUUUCUAGGAUCGACGUAAUGAUUAAUAGGGAUAGUUGGGGGCAUUAGUAUUCAAUUGUCAGAGGUGAAAUUCUUGGAUUUAUUGAAGACUAACUACUGCGAAAGCAUUUGCCAAGGAUGUUUUCAUUAAUCAAGAACGAAAGUUAGGGGAUCGAAGACGAUCAGAUACCGUCGUAGUCUUAACCAUAAACUAUGCCGACUAGGGAUCGGAUGAUGUUAAUUUUUUAAUGACUCA